RNAcentral lists this ribosomal RNA (551 nucleotides) under uncultured Acaulospora. Its description in RNAcentral is "SSU rRNA". It matches the Rfam family "Eukaryotic small subunit ribosomal RNA", at positions 548 to 1098 of the family's 1831-position model. Lineage: Eukaryota; Fungi; Glomeromycota; Glomeromycetes; Diversisporales; Acaulosporaceae. The record is from RNAcentral.
UUGGAGGGCAAGUCUGGUGCCAGCAGCCGCGGUAAUUCCAGCUCCAAUAGCGUGUAUUAAAGUUGUUGCAGUUAAAAAGCUCGUAGUUGAAUUUCAGGGUUUGUCUAUCGGUCGGGCUUCACUGUCCGCACUGAUUUGAUGGAUCCUUACCUUCUGAGUAGCCAUCAUGCCAUUAAUUUGGUGCGUUGGGGAAGCAGAGCUAUUACCUUGAAAAAAUUAGAGUGCUUAAAGCAGGCCAGUGCUUGAAUAGAUUAGCAUGGAAUAAUAAAAUAGGACGGCAUGGUUCUAUUUUGUUGGUUUCUAGGAUCACCGUAAUGAUUAAUAGGGAUAGUUGGGGGCAUUAGUAUUCAAUUGUCAGAGGUGAAACUCUUGGAUUUAUUGAAGACUAACUACUGCGAAAGCAUUUGCCAAGGAUGUUCUCAUUAAUCAAGAACGAAAGUUAGGGGAUCGAAGACGAUCAGAUACCGUCGUAGUCUUAACCACAAACUAUGCCGACUAGGGAUCGGACGAAGUUAAUUUUUAAAUGACUCGUUCGGCGCCUUACGGGAAAC